AGGGCGGGUCCGCGGCCGCCAGGUGAGCCCGCCCCGGUAGCCCCGCGCGUGGUCCGGUCGGCAGAGGCUUGGCGAGCCGCCAUCCCGCCCCUGCCCCAGGCCCACCUUCCCCCACCGCCCAGGCCCCGCUGGCCUCCCCGGCUCAUCUCGCACCCGGCGCAGACCCCAUGCCCUCCCGUCUCGGCAGCGCCCCCCGCUUCGCCUCCCGGUCCGGCCCCAGCUCGACGGGCGGAACCGGGUGCGCACAGCAGCCCCGCGCCCUGGCCCAGGGCCAGCGGGUUAACGCUUAACUACGCUCCAGGAGCUGUAGGCUCCAGCCGCGCCUCGAGUCCCCAACCUUUGGCCCCGGAAGCCAAAAAGAGGAGCGGACGGUGAAGGAGUCAGGGUGAGUUCCAGAGGCCGCUCCCAGAUUUUCCCUCCCGAGCCUGGCCAGACUGGGCGUAUGUCCGACAUCUCCACCUCUGACCCCGGGCGCUCUGGGCUGAGCUGGGGGCGAUGGUGGUGGGCAUCGACGCCGUCUUACCUGGACGCCCACAGUGGACCUGACCUGGCCGAGGGGUGGGGGUGGGGUUGGGAACUACGGAGGCGCUCGGGGUUCCUGGGUAAGUUCCCGCGGACUGCUCGCUCCUUGCCGGGUGCUACAAUAGGCGUAUCCGGUGUCCCUGGAGCCAAGCUAGGGGACGGGAUCAACGUGGGGGCGGGGCAGCGUGCCCGAAGGGCAUUGCUGCAUUCCAGGUGUUGGGGAACGCAGUGAGCGAAGGCGUGGAGGUGAGGGAGAAUGUGGAAGGCGUGCGCCCGGCCGGGGAACCCUGGGCUUUGUCCUGUGGGCAGCUGGAGCGGCUGGGCGUUCCCGGCUGCGACAACGCCCACCUGGCCCCGCACCUGGGCCUGCUCGCAAUCCAGCGGCGCCUCUCCGCAUCUGCCUUCACGGAUCUCAGCCCCAGCAGAGCCCUUGUGCCGGACCCUGGGGCGGGAUUGCGAGUUCAGAGGGAGUCAAGAGGCGCCCUUGAGUAUGGCGGGAGCCCCACCCCAAGCACCUGGUGGGAACUCACUUGCCUAGGGAGAGAGCAGGGCAGUGAGCACUCCGGGCUGGCUCCCAGGAAAGACCCUCCGGCAGGAGCUUGGAUUGCAAGGUUGGGGAGGAGGGAGGCCAGGGGAGGGACCUGCAGCCAGGUGAUCCGGGUGCCUGUAUUUCUUCCCAAGGAUAAUGUGAGUUGAUGCUGGCUGAGAUCUGCUCCGAUGAGGGUUUGAAAGAGAGAGCUCCGGGUGUCAAAGUCAGUGGAUGGCAAAACAUGCCUGGAGGGAGCAACCAGGCAUCCAACCACAGGCCCUGGGCUGGAGGGCGGGGGGGGGGGGGGGUGGAAGCAGAGGAAGGAGAGAGAAGGAAAUUUGGGAGGAAGAGUGGGCACGAACUGGCUGCCCAAUUGUGUGGGUGGGUAGGUGGCAGGGAGGGACUGGUUGUUCUGGGUCUGCCCCUCCGGCCCCACCACACCUGCUUCCAGGUGAGCUUAGGAAUUUCCCAGGCUUCCUCCCAGCUGGAGCCAGACGUGUCCCUCAGAGGCCCCAGCCCUGCCCAUCCUUUCCUGCCCUACCCAGGGCUUCUCUACCUUCUUGGCUUGGCCUGCUCCUUGUUCACACCUUGGUAAAUGACCCUUCACAAAAGUCAUUUUCUCUAUUUGUGCUUUUCUUUCUUUUGCCAGGACGCUUGACUUUCUCGACAGGGAGGGGGAGGCAAGCCUGGUGCCCAGUGCUCUGCCUGCACUGGUCAGUGCGCGUGGCUGUCACUUGGCUGGGAAGCUAGGCCAGGAGAGCAGCUGCAGCUGUGGAGGUCGGCAGUUGAGAGGUGGAGAGACCUGAGCACACUUGGGCCAGUCGUCCCGUGGCAUUUGGGAGCCCAGGACCGAGCCGGGGGGCAAGUGUGGGCAAUGCUUGGAGCCACAGAGUGGGGGUAGGGAAUUGGAGGGGUAGAGAGGACAACUCAAACCAAGCCAGGAACCCACAGAGGAGACCAGGAAAGGAAAACCAAGAAGGAGUGAGUCCCCAAUGCCCCCAAAUUGAUCCAUAUAUUGAAUGAUCCCCAGUAAAAGUAGCUCCAUGAUGAUUCCAAAGCCCUUAGGAAACUAAAGGUGCCAGGAGAAUGAAUAGACACGUCUCCAUAGAAGACACACACUGGUCAACAAGUACAUGGGAAAUGUCCAGCAUCCUCCAGGAAAUGCAAAGCAAAACCACAGUGAGAUCCCACCUCCCACCCGCUGGGACUGGGCAGAUGCAGUCCUGGCAAACCAGUCUUGGUGAGGAGCGGGGGUAUCAGAGCCCUGCUGCACUGAGAUACACACACACAAAAUGGAAUAGUAUUCAGUCUUAAAAAGGAAAGAAAUUCCAGUACUGGCUGCAACUUGGAUGGACCCUGAGGAUCCUAUGCUGAGUUAAAUAAGCCAGUCACAGAAGAACACGUACCAUACAAUCCCACUUAUGUGAGGUCCCUAGAGUAGUCACUUUCAUAGAGAUAGUAGCUGACAGGAGGAGCAUGGGGAGUGACUGUUUAAUGAAUACAGACUUGAAAUUUGGGAAGAGGUAAAAGUUCUGGAGAUGGAUGGUGGUGAUGGGUGGUGAUGAUGGACAUUGGAGAUGGGCAAUGGACAUGGAUGGUGGUGAUGGAUGGUAUAAAUGGAUAUUGGAUGUGGACAGCGGACGUGGACAGUGGAGAUAGAGGGUGGUGAUGGCUGGUGGACAUGGACAGUGAAGAUAGAGAGUAGUGAUGGAUGGUGGAGAUAGAGGGCGGUGAUGGACAGUGGAGAUAGAGGGUGGUGAUGGACAGUGGAGAUAGAGGGUGGUGAUGGACAGUGGACAUGGAUAGUGGAGACAGAGGGUAGUGAUGGACAGUGGAGAUAGAGGGUGGUGAUGGACAGUGGACAUGGACAGUGGAGAUAAAGGGUGGUGAUGGACAGUGGAGAUAGAGGGUGGUGAUGGACAGUGGAGAUAGAGGGUGGUGAUGGACAGUGGAGAUAGAGGGUGGUGAUGAACAGUGGAGAUAGAGGGUAGUGAUGGACAGUGGACAUGGACAGUGGAGAUAGAGGGUGGUGAUGGAUGGUGGACAUGGACAGUGGAGAUAGAGGGUGGUGAUAGACGGUGGACAUGGACAGUGGACAUGGACGGUGGGGACAGAGGGUGGUGAUGGACGGUGGACACAGACGGUGGAGAUAGAGGGUGGUGAUGGACGGUGGACACGGACAGUGGAGAUAGAGGGUGGUGAUGGACAGUGGAGAUAGAGGGUGGUGAUGGUCAGUGGAGAUAGAGGGUGGUGAUGGACGGUGGAGAUAGAGGGUGGUGAUGGACAGUGGAGAUAGAGGGUGGUGAUGGACAGUGGAGAUAGAGAGUGGUGAUGGACAGUGGAGAUAGAAGGUGGUGAUGGACAGUGGAGAUAGAAGGUGGUGAUGGACAGUGGACAUGGACGCUGGAGAUAGAGGGUGGUGAUGGACAGUGGAGAUAGAGGGUGGUGAUGGAUGGUGGACAUGGACAGUGGAGAUAGAGGGUGGUGAUGGAUGGUGGACAUGGAUAGUGGAGUUGAAGGGUGGAGAUGGAGGGUGGUGAUGGAUGGCGGUGAUGGAGGGUGGAGAUGGAGGGUGGUGAUGGAGGGUGGAGGGUAGUGAUGGACAGUGGAGAUGGAGGGUGGAGAUGGUGGGUGGUGAAGGAGGUUGGUGAUGGAGGGUGGUGAUGGGGGGUGGAGAUGGAGGGUGGUGAUGGAUGGUGGAGAUGGAGGGUAAAAAUAGUUGGUGGUGAUGGAGGAUGGAGAUGGAGGGUGGAUGGAGGGUGGAGAUAGAUGGUGGUGAUAGAGGGUGGUGAUGGAGGGUGGAGAUGGUGGGUGAUGAUGGAGGGUGGUGAUGGAUGGUGGAGAUAAAUGGUGGUGAUGAAGGGUGGAGAUGGAGGGUGGAGAUGCAGGGUGGAAAUGGAGGGUGGUGAUGGACAGUAGAGAUGAAUGGUUGUGAUGGAUGGUGGAGAUGGAGGGUGGAAAUGGUGGGUGGUGAUGGAGGAUGGAGAUGGAGGGUGGAUGGAGGGUGGAGAUGGUGAGUGGUGAUAGAGGGUGGAGAUAAAUGGUGGUAAUGGACAGUGGAGAUGGACAGCGGAAAUGGAGGGUGGAGAUGCAGGGUGGAAAUGGAGGGUGGUGAUGGACAGCGGAGAUGAAUGGUAGUGAUGGAUGGUGGAGAUGGAGCAUGGAAAUGGUGGGUGGUGAUGGAGGAUGGAGAUGGAGGGUGGUGAUGGAGAGUGGUGAUGGAUGGUGGAGAUGAAUGGUGGUGAUGGACGAUGGAGAUGGAGGAUGGAGAUGGAGGGUGGAUGAAGGGUGGAGAUGGAAGAUAGUGAUGGAGGGUGGUGAUGGAUGGUGGUGAUGGAGGAUGGAGAUGGAGGGUGGAUGGAGGGUGGAGAUGGUGAGUGGUGAUGGAGGGUGGAGAUAAAUGGUGGUAAUGGACAGUGGAGAUGGACAGUCGAAAUGGAGAGUGGUGAUGGAUGGUAGUGAUGGAUGGUGGAGAUGGACAGCGGAGAUGAAUGGUGGUGAUGGAUGGUGGAGAUGGAGCGUGGAAAUGGUGGGUGGUGAUGGAGGAUGGAGAUGGAGGGUGGAGAUGGAGGGUGGUGAUGGAGGGUGGUGAUGGAGGGUGGAGAUGGAGGGUGGUGAUGGAGGGUGGAGAUGCAGGGUGGUGAUGGAGGGUGGCGAUGGAGGUUGGUGAUGGAGGGUGGCGAUGGAGGGUGGUGAUGGAGGGUGGAGAUGGAGGGUGGUGAUGGAGGGUGGAGAUGCAGGGUGGAAAUGGAGGGUGGAGAUGCAGGGUGGAAAUGGAGGGUGGUGAUGGACAGCAGAGAUGAAUGGUUGUGAUGGAUGGUGGAGAUGGAGGGUGGAAAUGGUGGGUGAUGGAGGGUGGAGAUGGUGAGUGGUGAUAGAAGGUGGAGAUGAAUGGUGGCGAUGGACGGUGGAAAUGGAAGAUGGAGAUGGAGGGUGGAUGGAGGGUGGAGAUGGUGAGUGGUGAUACAGGGUGGAGAUAAAUGGUGGUAAUGGACAGUGGAAAUGGAGGGUGGUGAUGGACGGUGGUGAUGGAUGGUGGAGAUGGAGCGUGGAAAUGGUGGGUGGUGAUGGAGGGUGGAGAUGGAGGGUGGUGAUGGAGGGUGGUGAUGGAGAGUGGUGAUGGAUGGUGGAGAUGGAGAUGGAGGGUGGACGAAGGGUGGAGAUGGAAGGUGGUGAUGGAGGGUGGUGAUAGACGGUGGAGAUGGAGGGUGGAGAUGGUGGGUGGUGAUGGAGGGUGGGGAUAAAUGGUGGUAAUGGACAGUAGAGAUGGACGGUGGAAAUGGAGGAUGGUGAUGGUUGUACAACAAUGUGAAUGCACUUGAUGUCACUCAACUGUUCACUUAAAAAUGGCAAACAUAGUAGUUUUUAUGUUACAUAUAUUUUACUACAAUAAAAAAAGAAUGAAAAGCCUAUAAAAUUCUGAAAAAUAAAAAAGGGGGCUUUAGCCCUGCCAGAGAGUAGAAUCCAUCAUAGAACAUCUUGCUAUGGGCAGUUGACUGGACACACACAUCAGAGCAGGUCUGUGUGAUCAUUUAGCAUAUGAUUAAUGGGGCAUUUAAAAUCCACGAGGGGCCGGGCGCAGUGGCUCACGCCCGUAAUCCCAGCACUUUGGGAGGCCGAGGCGGGUGGAUCACCUGAGGUCAGCAGUUCGAGACCAGCCUAACUAACAUGGGGAAACCCUGUCUCUACUAAAAAUACAAAAAAUAGCUGGGCAUGGUGGUGGGUGGCUGUAAUCCCAGCUACUGAGGUGGCUGAGGUGGGAGAAUCACUUGAACCUGGAAGCGGAGGUUGCAGUGAGCCAAGAUCGUGCCACUUCUCUCCAGCCUGAGCAACAAAGCGAGACUCUGUCUCAAAAAAUAAAUUAAUUAAUAAAUAAAUAAAUCCAUGAGGGAAAGGAUGUCAUUUAAAAAAGGGUGUGGCCAGGCACGGUGGCUCAUGCCUAUAACCAGCACUUUGGAGGCCGAGGCAGGUGGAUCACCUGAGGUCAGGAGUUUGAGACUGGCCUGGCCAGCAUGGUGAAACUCUGUCUCUACUAAAAAAAAAGGACAAAAUUAGCUGGAUGUGGUGGCGCAUGCCUGUAAUCCCAGCUACUUGGGAGGCUGAGGCAGGAGAAUCGCUUGAACCUGGGAGGCAGAGAUUGCAGUGAGCCUAGAUUACGCCAUUGUACUUCAGUCUGGGCAACGAGCGAAACUCCAUCUCAAAAAAAAUAAAAAUAAUAAUAAAAUAAUAAUAAAGGGUGGUGGAGCAACUGGGCGGCCUUGGUGUCUGGAAAAACAUGACGUUGGAUCCUGAUCCCACUCUUCACACGGAAAUAAAUUCCUUAUGGAGCGGAAAUAGAAAUGCAAAAACCCAAAACCACAAACAUAAUUUGGAAAAAACACAGGAGACUAUUUAAUGAUCUCAGGAUCCGGAAGGCUUUUCUGAGCACAACAAAAAAGCAGAAGCCACAGGGAACAUUGUUGAAAAAUUUAAUUAAAUUACAAAUGGCAACAUUUUGCCUAGACCACAUAUUUAAAAUCAAAGGAUGUGCAACAAACUGGGGAGAACCCAUGAUAACUCAGUGGUUAACAAAGGGCCGAUUCUCCCAACAAAGGGCUACUAUCAGUCAACGAGGAAAGGGCCAGGCCGCCGGACACGCUGCACAAAGGAAGCCCCAAUGGCUGCUGACUGCAAGAUGCUGAACCUCCGCCGUAAUCAGGGAUGAGCAAAUUGGCCCUACCGGAAGAUGGUAUUUUCACCUGUCAGACGUUUUCAUGAGAGACUGGGAUGGGAGGAGCGGGGAGACAGGCACUUCCCACAACUCCCAGCAGGAGUGUGAAUUUGGGGUGUCGGGGGAGGGGAUUUUGUUUCCACUAUAGCCUGGUACUGCUAGAAGGUUUUAAAUGAGGACACUAGCUGUACUAACAAUUACAAAAUUCGCAGUACUGUGUAGGGGAGAGAGGGUCGGGGGGGAGGGCAUGGGGCCCCCUACGCAAUGUGGUGGCGCCAAGGGAAUGCCUAGCGGGUCCCUUGGGCUUAAGGACAAGGAUGCCAAGGUUUUGGGGCCUGGCAGGCCGGAGUGGGUGCCUGGAGCUAGAGGUAGAAGGUGUAGGUGCCCCCUUCUGGGAACAAGGGGGUGAGAGGAGGGAGGGAAAAAGGGGUGCAGGGCGGGUCAGAGGGCUCCCUCCCCCCAACAGCUGACCCCCCAGCCCCAGCGCCCUGCUUUGCAGCCACGGCAUUCAGCAGCCUCCACCUGGGGCUGAGAUUGUGACCACCCUCAGGGACACGGGUUCAGGUCUGCUGUCUGCUGAACCUACGUUCUGCAGGAUUUGGUCCAGGGCUCUGGUGAAGAUGUAGGAGUUGGCCUGCGUCAGCGCCCGUCCCCGCUUUCCACAGCGAGCAAAGACCGUGGGAACCCUGAUGCCCCUUUGCAUUUGCGCUUCUGUACUUAGCUGCUAGUCUCAGGCAGUGAAAGCUUCAAGCCACCCGCAGAGCCCUGGAACUGGGGCAUUGGCUCUAGUGGGAAAAGGAGGCUUCCCACUGGCGACCCACCAUGACAGACCACAAAAGACAUGCAGGUCCCCACAGUCAGGCCCUGACACCCACUCUUCCUGCCUUCUUCUGCCUAGGCUUGCACAGCUGGGCAAGUGAGCGGGAGCCACGGGUUAGCUGAGAUCACCUGCGGCCAGGAACAGGGCCUUCCUGGAGGUGAGGACAAGCUCUGCUUCCUCCAGGAGCAGGUGCUGGAGCAGAGCGGCUCCCCCGUUCUACAAGUGUCCUCUGUGUGGCGGCCCAGGUCUGUGCGGGCCUGUCCAGCCCAGGAGAGGACAGAAGUCAUCUGUAGCCUGGGCCCCUGUGGCCCCCAGCGAGAGGCCCUGGUGGGACUGGUCUUUCUCAGCCUGUGCACCUGGGGCUGAAACAGGACUCAAAGAGGGAAAGUGGCCCAGGCAGGCCCUCCCCUCAGGCCUCCCCUCUCCCUGGCUGCUCUCCCAGGCUUCCCUGCUUUCCCUUCUGAGACCCCGACUACUGGACCCAGCCUUACUGCCAAGAUAAUUAUCCACAACAGCAGGAGCGCCCAGGCCCAUGAAGAUAAUCGCCUGCCCAGCACUGUGUCCACAUCCAGUUCAUCCCAGCUGAGACCCAAGUGCAGCUGAGGGGUGGGGGACACUCCUCAGCUCUCGAAUGAUGCCAACCCUCCAGGGCCUGGCUGGGAGCAGCUCAGUGCUUCCUGGCUCCGGGGCUGUGUUCCCUACGUCCCAUUCGGAGCUUCUCUCCUGAAGAAAACAGUGUCUGCCUGCACCCUUCUUAGAAAGCACCCUGACACGUGGCUACAAAGAGCAGAGAGCACAGUACCCUUCCCAGACACACACCAGCACCCCCACCCACUGCAUUUAAGCCACCACUGUCCCGCCGCAUUCAUCCCUCCUCUACCCCCUAAAUUCAUCUUUCAGUGGAACUCUGCGUUCAUCCCUCCACUCCCCGCUCCAUUCAUCCCUCCACUCCCUGCUCCAUUCACCCCUCCACUCCCCCCUCCAUUCACCCUUCCACUCCCCCCUCCAUUCAUCCUUCCACUACCCCCUAAAUUCAUCCUUCCACAGAACCCUGCGUUCAUCCCUCCACUCCCCGCUCCAUUCACCUCCACUCUCCCUCCAUUCACCCCUCCAAACCCCCCUCCAUUCACCCCUCCACUCUCCCCUCCCUUCACCCUCCACUCCCUGCUCCUUUCACCCCUCCACUCCCCCCCAUUCACCCUUCCACUCCCCCCUCCAUUCAUCCUUCCACUACCCCCUAAAUUCAUCCUUCCACAGAACCCUGCGUUCAUCCCUCCACUCCCCGCUCCAUUCACCUCCACUCUCCCUCCAUUCACCCCUCCAAACCCC
RNAcentral lists this long non-coding RNA (8910 nucleotides) under Homo sapiens (human). RNAcentral's name for it is "non-protein coding lnc-AKT1-1:19". The record is from RNAcentral. Lineage: Eukaryota; Metazoa; Chordata; Mammalia; Primates; Hominidae.